This 202-nucleotide long non-coding RNA is filed under the name Elaeis guineensis (African oil palm). RNAcentral describes it as "long non-coding RNA (EGUI_LNC032229)". The record is from RNAcentral. Lineage: Eukaryota; Viridiplantae; Streptophyta; Magnoliopsida; Arecales; Arecaceae.
GCUAUAUAUAGACUCCAAAAUAGACUGUACAGCCUUAGGCAGUCCACCAUAAAGCACUUCAGUUCUGAGUUACCUUCGGAUUGAAAGUCUUACGUAGAUCACUAGAUGCGAGUAGACAUAUGAGAGGCCCUUUGUGAUCGCUGGAGCAUUGAGGAGUAUUCUGAUAGGUGGUAGAAGGCACGACAGAAUUAAACCAUCUAGC